RNAcentral lists this ribosomal RNA (400 nucleotides) under phytoplankton environmental sample. RNAcentral's name for it is "partial small subunit ribosomal RNA". It matches the Rfam family "Eukaryotic small subunit ribosomal RNA", at positions 587 to 974 of the family's 1831-position model. The record is from RNAcentral.
AGCUCCAAUAGCGUAUAUUAAAGUUGUUGCAGUUAAAAAGCUCGUAGUUGGAUUUUUGGUUUGAAUGGCCGGUCCUUCACAUGUAUUUGUGAUGUGUACUAUGGCUUUUUGGAUCAUAUUUUGUGAGGAGGUUUAACUGUCAUUAAGUUGAUGGUUUUAUCGACUUGCAUCUUUUACUGUGAAAAAAUUAGAGUGUUUAAAGCAGGCGUUUGCCAAAUUUUGAAUACAUUAGCAUGGAAUAAUAAGAUACGACUUUGGUGGUCUAUUUUGUUGGUUUGCACACCAGAGUAAUGAUUAAUAGGGACAGUUGGGGGUAUUCAUAUUUCAGCGUCAGAGGUGAAAUUCUUGGAUCGCUGAAAGAUGAGCUUAGGCGAAAGCAUUUACCAAGGAUGUUUUCAUU